CAGUAGCCGCGGUAACACGUAGGUGGCAAGCGUUGUCCGGAAUUAUUGGGCGUAAAGGGCUCGCAGGCGGUUUCUUAAGUCUGAUGUGAAAGCCCCCGGCUCAACCGGGGAGGGUCAUUGGAAACUGGGAAACUUGAGUGCAGAAGAGGAGAGUGGAAUUCCACGUGUAGCGGUGAAGUGCGUAGAGAUGUGGAGGAACACCAGUGGCGAAGGCGACUCUCUGGUCUGUAACUGACGCUGAGGAGCGAAAGCGUGGGGAGCGAACAGGAUUAGAUACCCCUGUAGUCCCUGUCUCUUAUAA
This 301-nucleotide ribosomal RNA is filed under the name uncultured bacterium. Its description in RNAcentral is "partial 16S ribosomal RNA". It matches the Rfam family "Bacterial small subunit ribosomal RNA", at positions 509 to 809 of the family's 1533-position model. The record is from RNAcentral.